CAUGUGGUUAAUUCGAUGAUACGCGAGGAACCUACCCGGGCUGAACUGCCAGUGAACGAUACAGAGAUGUGAGGCCCUUCGGGGCACUGGUGGAGGUGCUGCAUGGUGUCGUCAGCUCGUGCCGUGAGGUGUCGGCUUAAGUGCCAUAACGAGCGCAACCCCUUUCCCCAGUUGCCAUCACCUCGGGUGGGCACUCUGGGGACACUGCCGCCGCAAGGUGCGAGGAAGGUGGGGAUGACGUCAAAUCAGCACGGCCCUUACGUCCGGGGCUACACACGUGUUACAAUGGCGCGUACAGAGGGCUGACCGCCGGCGACGUCGGCCGAAUCCCGAAAACGCGUCUCAGUUCGGACUGGGGUCUGCAACCCGACCCCACGAAGCUGGAUUCGCUAGUAAUCGCGCAUCAGCCAUGGCGCGGUGAAUACGUUCCCGGGCCUUGUACACACCGCCCGUCAAGCCAUGAAAGCCGGGGGCGCCUGAAGUCCGUGACCGCGAGGGUCGGCCUAGGGUAAAAUGGUGAUGGGGCUAAGUCGUAACAAGGUAACCUA
This 548-nucleotide ribosomal RNA is filed under the name uncultured bacterium. Its description in RNAcentral is "bacterial SSU rRNA". It matches the Rfam family "Bacterial small subunit ribosomal RNA", at positions 938 to 1503 of the family's 1533-position model. The record is from RNAcentral.